UGAGGAAUAUUGGGCAAUGCCCGCAAGGGUGACCCAGCAACGCCGCGUGGAGGAUGAAUGUCGUAAGAUUGUAAACUCCUGUUAGAGGGGAAGAAUAGUACCGGUUGGACCGGUAUAUGACUGUACCCUCAGAGAAAGCCCCGGCUAACUACGUGCCAGCAGCCGCGGUAAUACGUAGGGGGCAAGCGUUGUCCGGAUUUACUGGGUGUAAAGGGCGCGCAGGCGGGAUAAAAAGUCAGUGGUGAAAUCCUACAGCUUAACUGUAGAACUGCCUUUGAUACUUUUAUUCUUGAGUUCGGGAGAGAGAGACGGAAUUCCAAGUGUAGUGGUGAAAUACGUAGAUAUCUGGAAGAACACCAGUUGCGAAGGCGGUCUCUUGGUCCGACACUGACGCUGAGGCGCGAAAGCGUGGGGAGCAAACA
Molecule: ribosomal RNA, 422 nt
Filed under: uncultured bacterium
Lineage: Bacteria
Description: bacterial SSU rRNA
Rfam family: Bacterial small subunit ribosomal RNA
Source: RNAcentral